CUCUCCUCCUGUUUUCCCGCCGAUUUCCUGGGGAGGCUUCAGUUGAGAACUGCAGUAUCCUGGGCAUGAAGGCUGCUCAGCCUGGCAGCCGGGAGCCUCAUACACAACAGAUGGGACCAGAGCACCUGGAGGGAGCCCUGGCAGCUCUCUCCAUCAGCUGGUGCUUCUAGUUUUCCCUGAUCUGUGUUUUCUAGCUUGAAGACACGUUUGCCACGUCUGCAUAUCCACGAGACCAGUAGACCCCGAACUUGGGUUUCACCAUUUCCUGACUUCAAAGUCUUCUGACAGCUGUAACCUGUUUUUUGACAGGGCUCCUCCCCCCAUUUAUUCUCACCAGUGUCCCACAAAUAGUCAGGUACUGUGUGGGUGGGGCAGGCGUGUUGGGGUGGCCCUGCCCGGUGGGAUUCACAGGCCUGUUGCUCCAGAUCAUUGACGACAAGGGCAACAGCCUGCCGUUCAACACUGAAGGCACCGCUGGCAUCAGGAUGAAGCCCACCAAGCCCAUUGGCCUCUUCAUGGGCUCUGAAACAUUUAGAUUAUUUCCAUCUUUUGGCUACUGUGAAUAAUGCUGCAAUGAACAUUGGUGUGCAAGUAUCUGUUUGAGUUCCUGCUUUCACUUCUUUUGGAUAUAUACCUGAAAGUGCAAUUGCUGCAUCUUAUGGACAACCCAGUAAAGUCAGCCAAAGUGGAGUGUGGGGACUUUUACAACUC
Long non-coding RNA from Neomonachus schauinslandi (Hawaiian monk seal), 711 nucleotides. RefSeq lists it as uncharacterized. The transcript has 3 exons. The record is from RefSeq and is a predicted model, not a curated record. NCBI's taxonomy places the organism in Eukaryota, Metazoa, Chordata, Mammalia, Carnivora, Phocidae.